GCCAGCAGUCAUAUCACCCUGCAACUCACAACUGGCAACCCACUGAAGCUAAGCAGGUGUGAGACUAGUCAGUACCUGGAUGGGAGACCUCCUGGGUAAAACUUAAGGUUGCUGCUGGAA
This 120-nucleotide ribosomal RNA is filed under the name Lepisosteus oculatus (spotted gar). The record is from RNAcentral. Lineage: Eukaryota; Metazoa; Chordata; Actinopteri; Semionotiformes; Lepisosteidae.